Molecule: long non-coding RNA, 428 nt
Organism: Mesocricetus auratus (golden hamster)
Lineage: Eukaryota; Metazoa; Chordata; Mammalia; Rodentia; Cricetidae
Exons: 2
Source: RefSeq, a predicted model, not a curated record
CUCCUCCUCCUCCUCCUCCUCCUCCUCCUCCUCUGAGAGCACUGUGGACAGAACCCAAAUGGAAGUCCUUGAAGUGAAAUUCAGCUUGGUCCAGGGUCCCUCAGAAUCUCCACCAAGGCCUUCAACACUGCUUAGACUUGGAAAGGCCAGGGUCCAGUCUUUUGGCUAGUGGAAUAUCCUUGGCUAUGUUCUGACGCGCCUGUGAAUCCUGUGUUUCCAGGUGACUCCCCCCCCCAGCCACCCACCAAGGCAAAGAUGACAAAAUCUGCUCUCUUCAGCACUGUCCCUUUCAGAGUGGGGCUUGGCUCUUAUGAAGAUAUUUCUCUUUAUCUCCAGGGCAAGCCUGUGACACCAGGCAGAAUGCUGUGGAAGGCUGGCUCUACCCUAGGGGUCUUUUAAUUUUUUUUAGUAAAAAUUGCAUUUAUUUA